UUGGUCAUUUAGAGGAAGUAAAAGUCGUAACAAGGKUUCSGUAGGUGAACCUGCGGAAGGAUCAUUACUGAGAGAGGGACUUCGCGUCCCCCCGGGGGGKUUCGGCCCUCCAGCUCUUCAACCCGUGCUUACACACCUCUGKUGCUUUGGCGAGCGCCGGGGCGUCUCACGUCUCGGCCCUGACCCUAGGGUCGGUGCGUUCUCGCCAGAGCCCCCUAAUCAUUCUGUUUGUUCAGUGACGUCCGAGUAUUAUCAAAUAUAAAUCAAAACUUUCAACAACGGAUCUCUUGGUUCUGGCAUCGAUGAAGAACGCAGCGAAAUGCGAUAAGUAAUGUGAAUUGCAGAAUUCAGUGAAUCAUCGAAUCUUUGAACGCACAUUGCGCCCCUUGGUAUUCCGAGGGGCAUGCCUGUUCGAGCGUCAUUGCAACCCUCAAGCAGUGCUUGGUAUUGAGCUUUUCGCCGGAGACGGCGUGCUCGAAAAUUAGUGGCGGUCCMGGGAGACUUCAAGCGCAGUAAAACUUUCCCGCUCGRGUUCUCGCCUGUGGCCAGCCGUUAAACCCCCGACUUUUCAAUGAUUGACCUCGGAUCAGGUAGGGAUACCCGCUGAACUUAAGCAUAU
RNAcentral lists this ribosomal RNA (619 nucleotides) under Caloplaca sp. 'diffusa'. Its description in RNAcentral is "eukaryotic LSU rRNA". The stretch from base 268 to 421 matches the Rfam family "5.8S ribosomal RNA". Lineage: Eukaryota; Fungi; Ascomycota; Lecanoromycetes; Teloschistales; Teloschistaceae. The record is from RNAcentral.